This 397-nucleotide ribosomal RNA is filed under the name uncultured microorganism. RNAcentral's name for it is "bacterial SSU rRNA". It matches the Rfam family "Bacterial small subunit ribosomal RNA", at positions 9 to 407 of the family's 1533-position model. The record is from RNAcentral.
GAGUUUGAUCCUGGCUCAGAUUGAACGCUGGCGGCAUGCCUUACACAUGCAAGUCGAACGGUAACGGGUCCUUCGGAGUGCCGACGAGUGGCGAACGGGUGGAGUAAUAUAUCGGAACGUGCCCAGUAGUGGGGAGUAACUGCUCGAAAGAGCAGCUAAUACCGCAUACGACCUGAGGGUGAAAGGGGGGAGUCGCAAGACCUCUCGCUAUUGGAGCGGCCGAUAUCAGAUUAGCUAGUUGGUGGGGUAAAGGCCUACCAAGGCAACGAUCUGUAGUUGGUCUGAGAGGACGACCAGCCACACUGGGACUGAGACACGGCCCAGACUCCUACGGGAGGCAGCAGUGGGGAAUUUUGGACAAUGGGCGCAAGCCUGAUCCAGCAAUGCCGCGUGCAGG